CUAUUUCAUUUUUUCAAAGUGCUUUUAAAUGUAUUUUUUUUUCUUUUUCUUUUAGUGCAAAGAAUGGAAAUGGAUAUACUGAUGUUUUCACCCCAGACACCACCUCUGAAAGAAUGGAGUAACGAGUGUAGUGUUUCAGUCGUCCCAUGCAGAAGGAAGCAGAAGAUGCGGUCCCCGGCCAUCUUCAGGGAGUGUUGGUCUAAGUCUGCCGUUAAAUACCCGCCACCUCCCUGGGAGGCAGCAGGACUGAGGCACAAAUGCUCCGUCUCACCCAAUGUCGACUUAUUUAGGAAACUUGAGUCUACAGUUUCACCCCCAUAGCUAGAGCUCUGAAACACAGAGAUCCAGGAAAAUGCUGUGGGGCCUUCCUGAGUCAUAAAUGUCAGAAAGCGCCGUCCCUAAAAAUAAAAAGGUACGUGUUUUUGCUUUUUAUUGUAUCAGUUACCAGUGGUCACAUAUGAGGCUCAAAUGAACAGUCAUUGAACGAGUUGUAAUCUCACAUGCUCACGCGGUUUCUCCAGCCUACGAGGGGCCACUGCUGUACAAAGCAAGCAUGUCAGUUUGGGUUUCCAAACUAGUUCUUUGUUGUGUGGAAGGCCCGUGACUCACAGAUGUGUGCCCUUCAUCAGCAAUCAAAUCGCUUGUUUGCAAAGGUAAAGAGCCCUGUAGUAGAGAGAAAGAAGCCUCACGGAGACAGUAUUUCGUCCAGGAAACAAGUGCUCUUUAGAAUGGGCGUUUAUGUUCCAUGGAUGAUCCUAUGGCAUAGCAGUGGGUGUAAGGUGUCUUUUCCCAACCCGUACGCAUUAAACAACUA
Molecule: long non-coding RNA, 814 nt
Filed under: Dasypus novemcinctus (nine-banded armadillo)
Lineage: Eukaryota; Metazoa; Chordata; Mammalia; Cingulata; Dasypodidae
Description: lncRNA (ENSDNOG00000050242.1)
Source: RNAcentral